This 386-nucleotide ribosomal RNA is filed under the name Klebsiella pneumoniae subsp. pneumoniae. RNAcentral describes it as "bacterial SSU rRNA". It matches the Rfam family "Bacterial small subunit ribosomal RNA", at positions 611 to 996 of the family's 1533-position model. The record is from RNAcentral. Lineage: Bacteria; Pseudomonadati; Pseudomonadota; Gammaproteobacteria; Enterobacterales; Enterobacteriaceae.
AACCUGGGAACUGCAUUCGAAACUGGCAGGCUAGAGUCUUGUAGAGGGGGGUAGAAUUCCAGGUGUAGCGGUGAAAUGCGUAGAGAUCUGGAGGAAUACCGGUGGCGAAGGCGGCCCCCUGGACAAAGACUGACGCUCAGGUGCGAAAGCGUGGGGAGCAAACAGGAUUAGAUACCCUGGUAGUCCACGCCGUAAACGAUGUCGAUUUGGAGGUUGUGCCCUUGAGGCGUGGCUUCCGGAGCUAACGCGUUAAAUCGACCGCCUGGGGAGUACGGCCGCAAGGUUAAAACUCAAAUGAAUUGACGGGGGCCCGCACAAGCGGUGGAGCAUGUGGUUUAAUUCGAUGCAACGCGAAGAACCUUACCUGGUCUUGACAUCCACAGAAC